GGGAAUGGAAGCCUAAAUCCUACUUGAAGAAUGACUGAGUUAAGAGCAAUGCAUCCUUCUGGGGAAACGUCAGCUCGGUCAGACGGUUCUGGCAUUAUCAUGAUCACCAAACUCGAAAUGGCGUACUUAGCUCGCCAGCAUAUCACCCGUAACAACGAAUUUAUAAAAACUAGCCCCCCACUCACCUGAGUUAUUCCCCUGACUAACCUCGCGAGAUUCAGCCCUUUCUCCCCUCGAAUCCUCACUCCCCAACCUCAUACUCACGGGAUGUCCUAAGUCCAGUGGAUUAACUAUGGAAAGAGGGACUGGGUCAAGACUUCCUGACAACUGUACGAAGAAUUAGGAGAGGGUAGGACAGAUUCUUCUUGGUAAUUCCCCCAAGAAUGCACUCU
Molecule: long non-coding RNA, 392 nt
Filed under: Olea europaea (common olive)
Lineage: Eukaryota; Viridiplantae; Streptophyta; Magnoliopsida; Lamiales; Oleaceae
Description: long non-coding RNA (OEUR_LNC009009)
Source: RNAcentral